RNAcentral lists this ribosomal RNA (407 nucleotides) under uncultured bacterium. Its description in RNAcentral is "partial 16S ribosomal RNA". It matches the Rfam family "Bacterial small subunit ribosomal RNA", at positions 30 to 526 of the family's 1533-position model. The record is from RNAcentral.
AUUGAACGCUGGCGGCAGGCCUAACAAAUGCAAGUCGAGCGGAGCGGCGGACGGGUGAGUAAUGCCUAGGAAACUGCCUGGUAGUGGGGGAUAACGUACGGAAACGGGCGCUAAUAACGCCUACUAUCAGAUGAGCCGAGGUCGGAUUAGCUCGUGGGUGGGGUAAAGGCCUACCUAGGCGACGAUCACUAGCUGGUCUGAGAGGAUGACCAUCCACACUGGAACUGAGACACGGUCCAGACUCCUACGUGAGGCAGCAGUGGGGAAUAUUGCACAAUGGGCGCAAGCCUGAUGCAGCCAUGCCGCGUGUAUGAAGAAGGCCUUCGGGGUGUAAAGUACUUUCAGCGGGGAGGCGUUACCCGCAGAAGAAGCACCGGCUAACUCCGUGCCAGCAGCCGCGGUAAUUC